RNAcentral lists this transfer RNA (84 nucleotides) under Candidatus Avirikenella pullistercoris. RNAcentral's name for it is "tRNA-Leu". It matches the Rfam family "tRNA". From Rfam's summary of the family: Transfer RNA (tRNA) molecules are approximately 80 nucleotides in length. Lineage: Bacteria; Pseudomonadati; Bacteroidota; Bacteroidia; Bacteroidales; Rikenellaceae. The record is from RNAcentral.
GCCCAGAUGGCGGAAUUGGUAGACGCGUUGGUCUCAAACACCAAUGGCAGAAAUGCUGUGCCGGUUCGAUCCCGGCUCUGGGUA